GACAGAGGUGCCGAGCGUUAGGCGGAAUCACUGGGCUUAAAGCGUGUGUAGGCGGACUUCUAAGUACCUUGUGAAAGCCCCGGGCUCAACCUGGGAAUUGCAUUCGAGACUGAAUAGCUAGGGUACGGUAGAGGGAAGCGGAAUUUCCGGUUUAGCGGUGAAAUGCGUAGAUAUCGGAAGGAACAUCAGUGGCGAAAGCGGCUUCCUGGACCAGUACCGACGUUCAGGCACGAAAGCGUGGGGAGCAAACAGG
This 253-nucleotide ribosomal RNA is filed under the name uncultured bacterium. Its description in RNAcentral is "partial 16S ribosomal RNA". It matches the Rfam family "Bacterial small subunit ribosomal RNA", at positions 524 to 776 of the family's 1533-position model. The record is from RNAcentral.